This 3001-nucleotide long non-coding RNA is filed under the name Mus musculus (house mouse). RNAcentral describes it as "long non-coding RNA chr13:91639612-91642613". The record is from RNAcentral. Lineage: Eukaryota; Metazoa; Chordata; Mammalia; Rodentia; Muridae.
ACUCAAAAGUCCUUGACUCCAGUGGCAAACCCAGAAAGGGAAUAUUUUCCUGAACUUUUAAAAUAACUUUAUGGUCAUAAAAAAUCUAUAAAGUAUAUCACAAGGUACAUAUAUUGUGAAGAUCUUUGAAGGAAAAAAAAUAGCAAAUCCCUGCAGAUAAUGUACUCUGGAGAAAAACGACUUGUCAAAUACUUACCUAUGUGUUUUACCUUUUUUUUUUUAAGAUUUAUUUAUUUAUUUAUUUAUUUAUUUAUUUAUUUAUUUAUUUAUUAUAUGUAAGUACACUGUAGCUGUCUUCAGACACUCCAGAAGAGGGCGUCAGAUCUUGUUACAGAUGGUUGGGAGCCACCAUGUGGUUGCUGGGAUUUGAACUCCGGACCUUCGGAAGAGCUGAGCCAUCUCACCAGCCCGUGUUUUACCUUUUUAUUACUACAUUCUUCAUCUGUUCGUACAAAUGAACCUGUUUUAUUUUCCUAAUAUAGGAAAAAUCUUACCAGUAUACUUUCUGGGUAACUAGAAUUGAUGAAAAUGUAGGUUUGAAUUAUAUAGUCUCAAGGACAGAGAUCAAAUCCUGUUUCCUAGACUUGGUUGUAAUUGUACACUUUUAACCUAACUGUUGUUGAUUGUAGAUUUGUCCCCUCUAACAUUAUAUUAAAAUAUUAUGCAAGUUUAGUUAAAUGGAAAAUCAGCUUGCUUUCAUUUUUAAAAGAUCAUGUGUGGUGCUGUACAAAAUGAAAGGAGCCAAGAGUUGGCAGGGCUGCAUCAGGCAGUCGUCAGUAAGUCUGUCUUACUGCAUGCUGCCUCCGAGCAUGCUCAUGUAGUCAUGAGCAGCAGCUUCCUCCUUUGUAUUCGUCUCCUUGGCUAUGGUUACAUUUGGAUUCAUAAGUAAACAGCAUUUCACAGGAUCACAUUUCAGCCUAGAUACUCUUGGGAACUGUGAAAAUCAUUGGUCUCAACAACCUCACGUACUGUGGAACUAUGUACUAGAACUCGCUAAGAUACCAUAUCAUCUGUGGGCUGAGUGCAUGGAUGGCUGCAACAGGCACAUAGUAAUCAGGGCAGCAUGUAUGUAACUGUGGGACCAGCAUUUAUGUAAAUGUGGGACCCACAGUAGUCAGGGCAGCAUAUACAUACAUAACUGUGGGACCAGCAUACAUGUAAGUGUGGGACCCACAGUAGUCAGGGUAGCAUGUAUGUAGCUGUGGGACCAGCUUGGAAUGUUUUUUCACAGCGAAGCUGUUAACUAUCACUGCUGUGUCCUAAGCCUCCCUGGUGCCUUUGUAGUAUAUCAUUCAGAAUCUUCUCUUGCUACUGUUUUCAAAUAUUGCUAACUACAGUAGACUGUAAACUGUAGCCCAGAACUUCCCUCUCUAGCUGGCUGUGCCUCUGUACUUGUUCCACAGCCCCUUUCCUUAAUGUCUUUACCCCCCACUGGCCAGUCUGUUCUCAGCUUUAUGAGAUCAGCUCUUUACCUUCCACGUCUGUGUAAGAUCCUGUGCUAUUUGUCUCCCUGCCCUGCUUUAUUUGAACUUAACAUAAUGUCCUCCAGGCUUAUCCACACUGUCACAGUUUUUUAGGGCUAAAUAAAACUCCGUUGUGUAUAUGGGCCACAUUUUCCGUAUUCAUUCAUUCAUCAGUGAUUAUUUAGGUUGAUUCAAUAUUUUGGCUAUUACAAAUAGCACUUCAGAUAAAACAGGACUGCAGAUAUCUCUGCACAGUAAUUGUUCCUCUUCUAGAUAUCUACAUGAUAGUAAGGUUGCCCGCUGCUGGAUUACUUCUAUUUCUAGGUUUUGUUUUAUUUUGUUUUUUGGUUUUUUUUUAGGACCUUGCAUAUGCUCUUCCAUAAAGGUGGUACUAAUUAUGUCCUCAUCUGGUCCCUUCUUUAGUAGUUUUAGAACCUUAAUGAAAUUGAAAAAUACAGUUGCUAGUUACAGAGCAGCUUCAUGUGUACCAAUGUGUAUAAAAAAGAAAUCUAUAGCCCUUAUCUGACUACAAAGAAUCCAAAGCAAAGGUUUUAUUUUUUCAUAUUCCCAUUUAAUGAAAUGCUAGGAUUUCAUGAAACGUUUAUAAAUUAAAUAAACUUUGAAUUUUUCAACCUGAUGGUUUUAAUAACGUGUGUGAGACCAGUGUCUUCAGAUCUAAUUCAGUUGUUUCUUCAGUCUCCUGCCUGCAUUUUCAUCUUCUCACCUUACUAACACUUUAUGUUUUGGGUAAUGAUUAUAACAUUAAAAAUGAAUAAAAUUUGGCUAUCUGUAGGCAGAAAGUGAAUUUUACUUGUUUGUGACAUAUUUAAGUAUAAUCUAAAUAAAGGUCUUCUCCCAGUUCCUGUGAUCAUCAUACACAGACUUUUACCUGUUUGCACACUCAUUGCUAAUGUUUGCCAUGUCAAGUGUCUGUGCCUUCAAUGAAGCAUUUGUUAAAACUUUAUCAUCUGUCACUUACUCCCAGCACUUAAUAUAUAUUCAAAUGUGUCAUCUUAUGAAAGAUCUUUGUCUUCACCGAGUUUCUCCAGGCCUUUUACAGCCACUGACAUUGUUUAUACACUGUUAAUCUCAGGGCACGUGUAGAGUGGGAACCAGUGCUUUUGCUCGCAGGAGUGCAAAAGCAGCCACCCUGCAGUGUGCACCAGCCUGUGGUCCUGUGCCUUCUCUGUAAUGAUGUAGCUCUGUCUCUCCUUUAUUCUUUGCAGAGUGCUGCAGCAGCUCCCAGCCCCGUGCUAGGAAACAUGCCCCCAGGAGAUGGCAUGCCAGUAGGUCCCGUGCCACCAGGGUUCUUUCAGGUACUCAGAGUCUUGACUAGGGAUGUUAAGGUGGAGGGACCACUGCUUGGUGUUAUUAAUGGUGAUGGAGUAGGACGAGGCUCUUUGAGUUCUUGUAGAUUGAUUCUUAAGGUAAAUGUGAUACUGUACAGCCAACUCUUGAUUGCUCGGGCUGGUCACUCAUAUAUUCCCUUCCUCUGUUGUAUUAUUUCUUAUGAUAAUAUUAAGUCAUUUCAUUUGAUU